CGAACGCCAUAUCGAAAUUGAAGGAUCGACAAGAUAACUGAAACAGAAAAGUAGAAAAUAAUACCGAUCAAUGAUAUAAAGAAAGUCACAACACUUAUAAUCAGCUUGAUUUUACGUUUGAAAAAUUGCAAUAAUAUAAUUGAAAACUACUAAUAAUAUCUAGAACUAUAAUAGAUAUAUUCAAAUAAUUACAACAUUGAAAGUCUUAUUAGAUUAUUCCACGCACUACCGUGAAACCUUUCACUGCGAUCUUUUCGUUUGUGAUACGUGCAUCAAUUCGAUUGUAUAAUCGCAAGUGUAAUGAGUACAGUUUGGUGAUUCCCUAUAGUGAUGAUACAAUAAUUGACAAUCACUAUUUUCACAAGUAAAUAAACGAAGUAUAAAGCUGAAUGAAAAAUCAUGUGAAAGAGAAAGGAGAAAAGAAAUUGAAACCAAUGUGUUAUUUAUCAUAAAUUCUAUAUAAUGUACUUUAAGAGGCAUUUAAUAAGAAUGGGAAAAAAACUCAAAGUGCUUUCGUCUGAUCAAAAUGUACAGACAUGACAGUUAAGACGCAUCAGUAUCGAAUGAUAUAACAUCUUGGAGCAAUGACUGUGUGAAUCUCGUGACAUUUACAAGAGAUGUUCGUCUGCCACACGAUUGGCAGAUACGUGAGUGCAUCUAAGCAGAUGAUUCGUAAAUCUUGACAGUAAUCGCUCGAUAAAUCGCUAGAUGAUUCAUUAAAAUAUAUCUAAAUAUACGUCCUUGGAUACCUUUUUUUUCUUCUCAAUACACCAUUUCGUUUUAUUGACUAUUAAAUUAUAGUUCUUGUGCUAUUUUAGUGUACAGUGUUCACGUUGAGGAAGCUUCACCAGCUUUAUUAGAAGCCAAAGGGCAAUAGUGGUAUUGUAAAAUCACGUAAGAAGAAGAGUUUAUACCUUUCACCUUAUUUCCUUAUAGUGUUAUGGCACUAGUCUGCAGUGCACUAAAUGACAAUAUGAAAGUCAACAGUGUUUAGAAAAUAUUUGCUCAAAUAAUCAUGAUAUCAAUAAAAAUGGAUGUCUUUGAGAGAAUAGAAGUUAAAUAUUAUAUUAAAUAUUGUAAAAUCAAUACUUCAAUUAUAUAACAUAGCUUGUUAACUGUAUGGCCAAUCAAGAGGUCGGUCAACCGCGACUUCAACUGCUGCAAUAUAGUAGUACAGUAUUUUGCAUCGAAGCAAAGAUCAUUUACUUUUACCUCUACUCCGGAAAACGUCCUCAGGGUUAUAUUGCACACUCGUUAUUACUUGAAACAUUUACACCUGGAUGAAUCGCCAAACUUCCGAUCUAAAAACCUGAUAUCACACUUGCACGAGAACCCAUUUAUUACAACAAUUAUUAUUCAAUUGUUUUAAUUAUUAUUAACAAUAAUUAUUUACUGUUUUUAAUAUGAAUUGAUUUAUUAUUGAAUAUUUAAUAUGACAAAAACUAGCGCAUCCUUCACGAACCAUCCACGCUCCGUUCUAUUUCUUUCUCUUUCAUUCUCCCAACCGCACUUGGAAAGUAAAGGUCUCGAAUCCUGAUGAUGUUUAAGUUACAAUAUUACGCAAUCAAGAGAAGGUGCUCGAGUCUAGAAAGAAAGAGGGCACGAGUAGAGAACAUUUGACUUGAGACACAUUCUUAAUCUUUAAAUAAUUGCCGGAAGUAUCCUCCACACAUCCUGCACUUUUGAAGUUUUCAGUUUAAAGAAUCAUAUGGACAAAUAUAAAAUAAUAAUAUUAAUAAUAAAAAUAAUAACAAUUAAAGUCACUGCCCACACAUUUUGACCGCAUUAAAUCCACAUGUGUGAAAUAAAAUUAACAUUAUAAGCAUCAUCUUACACAUUCUUGGCUUGUGUAGAAAGAAUAUGAAUAAUAAGAAGAAGAAUUACAAGUAGCUUACCCUGCAACAGAAGUCCAUGCAGCGCGAGGUUCAUGGCUAUGGAUCGCACUCGUGAGAUCUAAAAUAAAUGUUAUCAGUUAAUCAUUUAUUAAUAUAAUAAAUAAAGUAUUAUACAUACUUAACAAUAACUAAUUGAAAUUUAAAAUAUACAAAAGGAUUAUAUGGUCAAGAAUUUUCACCUUACGUAAAGUAACACUAGCUUCCAUGAACACUGCUUUCCCUAAUUUCUAUAUCAACUGAUUUAAAAGACUAACUACACCUGAUGAUUAUUUUUUCCUUGACCAUAAUUCAUAAAUCGCUGAAGUAAUAUUUUAGUAUUUUAUAUUUAAUAUCUAAUAUAUUAACAAUAUAUUCAAACCUCUUCACCAACCAGUCUACCAAUAAAUAAUAUAAUCGAAACCUAGAGAAAGUGAUAUCUUGCUGCAAGUGGUCAAUCUAACUCGUGGUUUCAUGACGACUUGUUCAACCGUAAAACGUGUAUCAUCUUGAUGUAGAGAAAACCGAGUUCUUGUUUGAUAUGAAUUUAUUUUCUCGCACGUGUAACAAGUGUCAAUUCUAAUGAGAUAGUAAUGGAAAAAUUACAAAAUAUUUACUUUGAUAUUUAAUGACAAUUUUGAAAUAUACUUUCACUGGAGAAUAAAAAUAUUUGGAGAGCAUAAAUAUAGUGGAGAAGAAUGGAAGGAAGAGAGAUAGAAAGAGAUGAUAUAUAAGUUGAUUGUAAAGCUACAGUAGAUUAUAAAACCAAGUCAAGACAAGUUAUUUUAUGUAUAUACUUGCUGGUAUUUCAAGAUGGCUUCAAAUCCGCGUGGUUCGAAUGCACGAAACACGUGUCCUCGACAAUUUUACGAGUCCACUUGUGCAGCAUAUUCCAAUUGAUGGGAUUCAAAAAGUAUAUCAAGUGGACCGUAGAACUGUGGAAUCUAUAGACCUUCAACCUGUUACAGUAACAGUGAAGAAGAAACCGGAAAAAUAAUUAAUGAUCUAAUAAAUCAACAACACCGUUAGUUACACAGCAAGAUUUAUAAGUGAUGAAUAAAAUAAGUAUUAGUUACAUAAAAAAAAA
Chelonus insularis is the source of this 2958-nucleotide long non-coding RNA. RefSeq lists it as uncharacterized. NCBI's taxonomy places the organism in Eukaryota, Metazoa, Arthropoda, Insecta, Hymenoptera, Braconidae. The transcript is spliced from 6 exons. The record is from RefSeq and is a predicted model, not a curated record.